UGUGUGUGUGUGUGUGUGUGUUCAACUGGUGGACAAAGGCAUAAAGACGGGUGCAAAAAUAAAUCCUCUUUUGCAACCCAGAGCUCAUUGUUCAGUAUGAGUUUUGAUACAUACAAGAAGGAAUAUG
Molecule: small nucleolar RNA, 127 nt
Filed under: Nannospalax galili (Upper Galilee mountains blind mole rat)
Lineage: Eukaryota; Metazoa; Chordata; Mammalia; Rodentia; Spalacidae
Description: Small nucleolar RNA SNORA40 (ENSNGAG00000006054.1)
Rfam family: Small nucleolar RNA SNORA40
About the family: The snoRNA ACA 40 belongs to the H/ACA family of snoRNAs and guides the pseudouridylation of 28S rRNA subunit at position U4565. NB This family has a high threshold value to exclude a large number of closely related sequences that do not appear to have conserved H and ACA boxes, and may be pseudogenes.
Source: Rfam by way of RNAcentral